This 414-nucleotide ribosomal RNA is filed under the name Triticum aestivum (bread wheat). RNAcentral's name for it is "partial small subunit ribosomal RNA". The record is from RNAcentral. Lineage: Eukaryota; Viridiplantae; Streptophyta; Magnoliopsida; Poales; Poaceae.
AUGAAGAUACCUCUUAAGAAUAAAAUCUUUGCAUGGUAUCUUCGUCACGGAGUCAUUCUUACUAAAGAUAACCUUGUUAAGAGAAAUUGGCACGGAAGUCCGCACUGUGUUUUUUGUCACCAUGAUGAUACAAUAAAACAUUUAUUCUUCCAAUGCAAAUUGGCUCGUUCUAUAUGGUCAGUCAUCCAGAUGGCUUGUGACUUGUAUCCUCCUUGUAGUGUUGCUAAUGUUUUUGGCAACUGGUUACAUUGGAUUGAUCAUAGGUUUAGAACUCUUUUUAGGGUGGGAGCGCUUGUCGUUAUUUGGUCGCUUUGGCUAAGUAGAAAUGAUAAGGUUUUUAACGAUAAAAGUACUUUUCUGAUGCAGGUUAUCUACAGAUAUAUCGGGACUCUUCGUUUAUGGUCCUCUCUAUAA